This 250-nucleotide ribosomal RNA is filed under the name uncultured bacterium. Its description in RNAcentral is "partial 16S ribosomal RNA". It matches the Rfam family "Bacterial small subunit ribosomal RNA", at positions 524 to 773 of the family's 1533-position model. The record is from RNAcentral.
UACAGAGGUCUCAAGCGUUGUUCGGAAUCACUGGGCGUAAAGGGUGCGUAGGUGGCAUGGUAAGUCAGAUGUGAAAGCCCAGGGCUCAACCUUGGAAUUGCAUCCGAUACUGCUGUGCUAGAGUACUGGAGGGGUGACUAGAAUUCUCGGUGUAGCAGUGAAAUGCGUAGAUAUCGAGAGGAAUACCAAAGGCGUAGGCAGGUCACUGGACAGUUACUGACACUGAGGCACGAAGGCCAGGGGAGCAAAC